AUUGAACGCUGGCGGCAGGCUUAACACAUGCAAGUCGAGCGGGGAAGGGUAGCUUGCUACCUGACCUAGCGGCGGACGGGUGAGUAAUGCUUAGGAAUCUGCCUAUUAGUGGGGGACAACAUUCCGAAAGGAAUGCUAAUACCGCAUACGCCCUACGGGAGAAAGCAGGGGAUCUUCGGACCUUGCGCUAAUAGAUGAGCCUAAGUCAGAUUAGCUAGUUGGUGGGGUAAAGGCCUACCAAGGCGACGAUCUGUAGCGGGUCUGAGGGGAUGAUCCGCCACACUGGGACUGAGACACGGCCCAGACUCCUACGGGAGGCAGCAGUGGGGAAUAUUGGACAAUGGGCGCAAGCCUGAUCCAGCCAUGCCGCGUGUGUGAAGAAGGCCUUUUGGUUGCAAAGCACUUUAAGCGAGGAGGAGGCUACUUGGAUUAAUACUCUAGGAUAGUGGACGUUACUCGCAGAAUAAGCACCGGCUAACUCUGUGCCAGCAGCCGCGGUAAUACAGAGGGUGCGAGCGUUAAUCGGAUUUACUGGGCGUAAAGCGUGCGUAGGCGGCUUUUUAAGUCGGAUGUGAAAUCCCUGAGCUUAACUUAGGAAUUGCAUUCGAUACUGGGAAGCUAGAGUAUGGGAGAGGAUGGUAGAAUUCCAGGUGUAGCGGUGAAAUGCGUAGAGAUCUGGAGGAAUACCGAUGGCGAAGGCAGCCAUCUGGCCUAAUACUGACGCUGAGGUACGAAAGCAUGGGGAGCAGACAGG
RNAcentral lists this ribosomal RNA (754 nucleotides) under Acinetobacter johnsonii. RNAcentral describes it as "bacterial SSU rRNA". It matches the Rfam family "Bacterial small subunit ribosomal RNA", at positions 28 to 776 of the family's 1533-position model. Lineage: Bacteria; Pseudomonadati; Pseudomonadota; Gammaproteobacteria; Moraxellales; Moraxellaceae. The record is from RNAcentral.